AGAGCGAACGCUGGCGGCGUGCCUAACACAUGCAAGUCGCACGAGAAAGGGGCUUCGGCUCUGAGUAAAGUGGCGCACGGGUGAGUAACACGUGAAUAAUCUACCUCCGAGUGGGGAAUAACUGAGAGAAAUCUUAGCUAAUACCGCAUAACACUUACGAGUCAAAGCAGCAAUGCGCUUGGAGAGGAGUUCGCGGCCGAUUAGUUAGUUGGCGGGGUAAUGGCCCACCAAGACGAUGAUCGGUA
This 245-nucleotide ribosomal RNA is filed under the name uncultured bacterium. RNAcentral describes it as "partial small subunit ribosomal RNA". It matches the Rfam family "Bacterial small subunit ribosomal RNA", at positions 26 to 285 of the family's 1533-position model. The record is from RNAcentral.